This is a long non-coding RNA of Poecile atricapillus (Black-capped chickadee), 313 nucleotides long. RefSeq lists it as uncharacterized. NCBI's taxonomy places the organism in Eukaryota, Metazoa, Chordata, Aves, Passeriformes, Paridae. The transcript is spliced from 2 exons. The record is from RefSeq and is a predicted model, not a curated record.
CCGGCACGGCCCGCGGGCUCGGGAAUGCCCCCGGGGCCGGGCAGGAGCUGCCCCGCCACCACCGCACUCCUCGGACCCGCGGCUGCCCGGGUCACCUAGUGCCGGAGGUUAAACAGCGGAGAAGGGCUGGGAGAUACCGAAUGUGGAGUUUUGCUACUGUGUCUGCAGACGGAGUGACAGAGGCAGCGCAUCAAAGCUAACCACGACGUUCUGCAAGUAGGCUGUUCACUCUGAAGCCUACAACGCGUAAUUGAAAUGUGAUUAAUUCCUCUGCUGAUUAACACUUUGAAUAAACCUCCACCUAAAAUUCUUA